AUUAGUAAUAUAUAACUAAUAAGCUAAGAGAGGAAAGAAAAUUGAAUAAUAUAAAAUAAUCAAUUGAAUAAUACAAAAUAGUUAAAAGAGGGCAGAAAAAGAGAGGAAGGGAAAAAAAAGCAAAGAGCAAGUACGGUCAAUAGAAAACAGUGAAAAAUGGUAGGCGUUUUAAUUUUCUGGGGUUGCUCUAACAACGUAGCAGCACAAACUGUAUGGUUUUUAAACAACCGAGAUUUAGUCUCUCACAGUUCUUGAGGCUAGGUUCAAAAUCAGGAUAUUGGUAAUGUUGGUCCCUGCUGUAAUCUGUUCCACGCUUCCCUAUUAGCUUCUGGUGGUUGCUGGUACAUUGAUUUUGGGCUCUGAGCUUUCAGAACUAUGAGACAAUUUUUUUGUAUGAGGUUUUAAGUUAUAAAGUUUGUGACAAUUUCUUACAGCAGCCACAGGAAAUGAUUACCGCUACAGUUGUACCUGAACAGCACACUAUAUAGCAACUGAUUUAAAUGGCAUUCAUAGAAUAUUCCAUCUAAAGGCAAAUAUCUAUUCUUCUCAAGCUCACAUUGAAAAUUAACCAAGCUAUAACACAUUCUAUACCACAAAAUACACGUUAACAAAUGUAAACAAUUGAACUCAUACAAAAUGUUUUCUUACGCAACAAUAGAAUUUAACUAGUAAUCAGUAACAGACAGCUGUAAUACUCCAAAAUAUUAAGCAACACUUUAAAAAUAGGCUUAGUGGGUUUUAUUGGUAAACUGAUGAAUUCUACCAAAAGUUGGAGAAGGAAAUUAUUAAAAUUCUCCCCAAAUUUGUUUCAGAAAAUGAAAGGAGAUGGACUAUUUUGUAACACAUUCUAUGAGGUCAGCAUUACCCUAAUCCAGAGCCAAGUAAAGACAUUAUGAGAAAGGAAAACCAGAAACCAGUAUCUCUCAUGAACACAGAUGCAAAAAUUCUCAACAGUACGUUAGUAAAACAAAUCCAACAAAAUAUAUAUAAAAAUUGUGCACCACAAGUAAGUGGGAUUUAUUCAAGGUAUGCAAGCUGGUUCAAUCUUUGAAAAUUAUUAAUGUAAUCUCCCAUAUCAAUAAAGAAGAAAAAUCAUAUGAUUAUAUCAACUGAGGCAGAAAAGCUAUUCGACAAAAUUCACACCAUUCAUGAUAAAAAGUCUCAGCAAACUAGGAAUAAAGAGGAAGUUUCUCGGCCGGGUGCAUCUGAGGUCAGGAGUUCAAAACCAGCCUGCCCAACAUGGCAAAACCCUGUCUCUAUUAAAAAUACAAAAAUUAGCUGGAUGUGGUGGUGGGCGGCCUGCAGUCCCAGCUGAGGCAGGAGAAUCGCUUGAACCCGGGAGGCAGAGUUUGCAGUGAGCCGAAAUCGUGCCACUGCACUCCAGUCUGGGUGACAGAACGAGACUGCGUCUCAAAAAAAAGAAAAAAAGAGGAAGUUUCUCAACUUCAUUACAAAUCUGAAAAAAAAAAAAAAAAAAAAAGACUCCUAUAGCUAACAUCAUACUUAUAAGUGAGAGACUGAGUACUUUCCCCCUAAGGUCAGAAAAAAGGAAAGGAUAUCCCCUCUCACCAUCCCUGUUGAACAUUGUACUAGAAGUCCUAGCUAGUGUAAUAAAACAAGCAAAGACAAAUAAAAACUAUACAAACUGCUGGCCAGGCGCGGUGGCUCACGCCUUUAAUCCUAGCACUUUGGGAGGCCAAGGCGGGCAGAUUGCCUGAGCUCAAGAGUUCGAGACCAGCCUGGGCAACACAGUGAAUCCCUGUCUUUACUAAAAUACAAAAAAAAUGUAGCCAGGUGUGGCGGUGUGCGCUAGUCCUGGGAGGCUGAGGCAGGAGAAUUAUUUGAACCUGAGAGGUGAAGGUUGCAGUGAGGUGAGAUUGUGCCACCACAUUCUAGCCUGGGUAACAGUAAGAGACUCCGUCUCCAAAAAAAUACACCAAAAAAAAAAAACCAUACAAACUGCAGAGUAUGAAACAAUUAACUUUAUUCUCAGAUGACAUGAUUCUCCAUGUAGAAAAUGCCAAAGAAUUGACAUUAAAAAAAAAACUCUUCUAUGACUAAUAAGUAAUUAUAGCAAGGUUGCAAUAUACAAGAUUAAAAUACUAAAGUCAGUUUCCUUUCUAUGUGCCAGCAAUGAAGAAUUGAAAUUUGAAAUAAAAAAAAAAUUACAAUAGCACCAAAAGUAAAACAGAAAAAACUCUUUAAAAAGGUACAGAAUCUACAUGUGGAAAUAAUAAGCUUUUCAGCAGUGUUAGUUAUUAGGAAAAAGCAAAUCAAAACUGCAUUGAGAUACCAUUAUGUUCCCACUAGAAAGGCUGUAACUAAAAAAAAAAAAAAAAAGGAAAUAAUCAAGUAUUAACAAGGAUGUGAAGAACCUAGAAACUUUUUAUAUUGCUUUUUAUAAGCUUUUGUAUUGUUACUCAUAUAAAGUGAGUAACAACUUUGGAAAAUAGUACGACAACUUAAAACUUAUACAUAAACAACAUACAACACUCUUUUUUUUUUUUUUUUUUUUUUUUUUUUUUUUUUUUUUUGAGACGGAGUCUCGCUCUGUCGCCCAGGCCGGACUGCGGACUGCAGUGGCGCAAUCUCGGUUCAUUGCAAGCUCCGCUU
Molecule: long non-coding RNA, 2613 nt
Filed under: Homo sapiens (human)
Lineage: Eukaryota; Metazoa; Chordata; Mammalia; Primates; Hominidae
Description: HSALNT0171435
Source: RNAcentral